RNAcentral lists this ribosomal RNA (501 nucleotides) under uncultured bacterium. RNAcentral describes it as "partial 16S ribosomal RNA". It matches the Rfam family "Bacterial small subunit ribosomal RNA", at positions 30 to 523 of the family's 1533-position model. The record is from RNAcentral.
AUUGAACGCUGGCGGCAGGCUUAACACAUGCAAGUCGAGCGGAGAUGAGGUGCUUGCACCUUAUCUUAGCGGCGGACGGGUGAGUAAUGCUUAGGAAUCUGCCUAUUAGUGGGGGACAACAUUCCGAAAGGAAUGCUAAUACCGCAUACGUCCUACGGGAGAAAGCAGGGGAUCUUCGGACCUUGCGCUAAUAGAUGAGCCUAAGUCGGAUUAGCUAGUUGGUGGGGUAAAGGCCUACCAAGGCGACGAUCUGUAGCGGGUCUGAGAGGAUGAUCCGCCACACUGGGACUGAAACACGGCCCAGACUCCUACGGGAGGCAGCAGUGGGGAAUAUUGGACAAUGGGGGAAACCCUGAUCCAGCCAUGCCGCGUGUGUGAAGAAGGCCUUAUGGUUGUAAAGCACUUUAAGCGAGGAGGAGGCUACUGAGACUAAUACUCUUGGAUAGUGGACGUUACUCGCAGAAUAAGCACCGGCUAACUCUGUGCCAGCCGCCGCAGUAA